Molecule: long non-coding RNA, 2447 nt
Filed under: Capra hircus (goat)
Lineage: Eukaryota; Metazoa; Chordata; Mammalia; Artiodactyla; Bovidae
Description: lncRNA (ENSCHIG00010014851.1)
Source: RNAcentral
AAUAGGGUUUCCAUGAGUGCACAUAGACACAGUUUUAUAUUUUUUCUCAUACCCUGUGGAUGGCUUGACUACCCUCUAGCAUGUGCAUACCCAUCUUUGAAGACUAUAGCUCUAUGCCAGUAGGGAUAUCUUUCUAAAAUGAAACUGUAUACUUAAAAUCCUUCUAUAGAUCUCAAUGAAUAGUAGAUAAAAUCUGAAUUCUUAAAUGCAAAAGAUGAUGCUAUUCAUGAAUUGUUAACUUCUUUUCAAAUUUAAAACAAAAUAAUACCAGUAAAAGCUCUUAUUAAACAAUUUAUACUUGUCAACAUAUUAAAUGAUUUGAAUCUGUCAAAAUAGAUAUAUUAAUACAUAGCUCCUUGGACAGUCACAGAUUUAGUUGUGUUGUAGGUUUGACUGGGUCAAAAUAAGAGCCAAGCUAUGUGGCAUGAAAUAUCUAUUGACUGUCACAAAAAUGUUAAUAAAUGAAGAUUAUUAAAUUUUGUAGGGUAUUAGAGGAUAAAAUGCAUAUGUCAGAUUCUAUAACAUAACUGUAUACAUAACACAUUUUUGUAUAUCAUAUACAUAAACGUCUAUCAGUUUGGGAAAUUAUUGAAUGAACAAGAAAUAAAACCACAUGUUGGUAUUAGCAUCAGAAUUUUCAUUGACUCUACAGUUUUUUGUCAAUAUUAUGGCAGUUUCUAAAGUAUAUCAGAAUGAAGGAAAUGCUUUAAAAAGCAGGCAACCGCUGAUUACUUUGGCUUUUAUUUUAAAACAAAGCUCUACAUUUGUUUUUUUGUUUUUAUUGAAGCGUGGUUGAUUUGCAGUGUUUCAGAUGUACAGCAGAGUUGAUUCAUUUACAUGUAUGUCCUUUUUCAGAUUCUUUUCUGUUUUAGGUUAUUCUGAAAUAUUAAAUACAGUUCCCUUGCUUUAGUAGGUCCUUGUCUGUUUUAUUAUAGUAGUGUGUAUCUGUUGAUACCCAGUUCCUAAUUAACCUCCCACCUUUCCACUUUGGCAACCGUAAGUUUGUUUUCUAUGUCUGUGAGUCUAUUUCUGUUUUGUAAAUACGUUCAUUUGUAUAUAUAAAUUUUUUUACAGUUCCACAUAGAAGUGAUAUCAUAUGAUAUUUGUCUUUUAACUUGGUGGAAAAAGAGGAGAUAUUUCCUGUAUAUAUAUUGAGAUGAGAUGAGCUAAAGAAAAAUAGCAGAGCUGAAUGUUAGGUUAUCCUACUAACCUUUGUCAGGCCCUUCUGCCUUGAUAUGGUUCAAAUUUCUGCCAUAUAUUUUGAUACUCUCUGUCUCCAUAGCAGUUGCCUGGGAGUGUGUUGCCAGAAAGGACACUGAAAAUGCAGUCAAUUUAUAAAUAGAUCCUCCUAUUUUAUAGAUGUCAUUAAGAGGUUUUAUGAGGUAUUAUGAGAGAUUGAACAUAUAGUGAAAUAGUUUAUUUGCUCAGAAAAAUAUUAAUAGUUAUNNNNNNNNNNNNNNNNNNNNNNNNNNNNNNNNNNNNNNNNNNNNNNNNNNNNNNNNNNNNNNNNNNNNNNNNNNNNNNNNNNNNNNNNNNNNNNNNNNNAUAUAGUGAAAUAGUUUAUUUGCUCAGAAAAAUAUUAAUAGUUAUAAACAUCAAAAUAUAACCAAGCAAACAUCAGACAUUAUUAUUCGAUAUUUCUUUCAUAUGGCAAAGAAAAGAUUUAAAACUGAUUUUCUGUUUGAAAAAUGUCAGUGGAAAUAAACAAAUGGGUAAUUUCUAACUCUUAUUUUCUAUGUAAUGGAUGAAGAAAUAAAUUACUUAUUUUAGAAAUAUUGUUCUGUGAUAUUGACAAAUAUCACAGUUUAAUAUGAAGCACUGACUCAUAAUAAAUACUUUCUUUGAACUUGGUAUGUAUUAAACUAGGGUUAACAUUUUUGCACUUAAAAUUUCAUCACUGAUGAAUCCUAGAUGUCUAUUUGUGCAUACAUUACCUUAUUCAUAAAAGGGUUUGUGUAGAAUCAGAAAUGUUUUAAAUAUACAAUCUGUCUUGAAAACAAGACAAUCAAUGAUAAAUAGCAGGAAAAAAAGUUAUCUUUCUAGAAUCUGGGAAUCUCUCCCUCCCUUCUCUACCUGUUUUCCAUGGUUUGACAUAUUAACUAUUAUAAAAUUAAAAUAUUAAACAGUGAGUAUCUAACAGUUUAAAUUCUUUUCAUUGAGGGUGAUUUGCCUGAUUUCUUAGAUGUAAUUAAAGGGAGAGAGUAAAUGUGGUUUUUUAAAGAGUGCUUUUCUUUCUUUUGAGUUUAUAAAAUUGUUUUAGGAAUAGCAAACUUAGUACAUUGGUGGUGUUCAGUUCUCAUAAUUUUCUUUCAGACCUUUUUAAAAGGUAAACUCUAUGAGUAAUGUGAUCAUAUGCACGGGAAACUGAAAUUAAAGCACUCAAACUGUUGUGACAAAUAACAGAUAUUCAGGGUCAGGGCAAAUAAGGCUACGGAUAAUCACUCCAU